GUCUUUAGAUACCAAGCUAUAGAAAAAUGCGUUAAAGCCUUCAUCAUUUCGUCGCUUGGCACGAAGAAUACGCCCCAAACGUUGAGCUUCUUGACGCCUAGAACCAUAAUGAGAAGAAAUCUGAAUCAAACAGGUUGCUUCAGGAAGAUCAAUAGACGUAUCACCAACUUUAGAAAGGAAAAUGGUAUUUACAAGUUCAUUAUACUGGAAAUUUUCCAAAAUCCUCAUUCUUUCCUGCUGUGGAGUUCCACCAUAAAUAAAAUAUUUGCCUA
Schizosaccharomyces pombe (fission yeast) is the source of this 272-nucleotide non-coding RNA. Lineage: Eukaryota; Fungi; Ascomycota; Schizosaccharomycetes; Schizosaccharomycetales; Schizosaccharomycetaceae. The record is from the annotation of a GenBank genome assembly.